AGUGAACGCUGGCGGUAGGCCUAACACAUGCAAGUCGAACGGCAGCACAGUAAGAGCUUGCUCUUGCGGGUGGCGAGUGGCGGACGGGUGAGGAAUACAUCGGAAUCUACUUUUUCGUGGGGGAUAACGUAGGGAAACUUACGCUAAUACCGCAUACGACCUACGGGUGAAAGCAGGGGAUCUUCGGACCUUGCGCGAUUGAAUGAGCCGAUGUCGGAUUAGCUAGUGGCGGGGUAAAGGCCCACCAAGGCGACGAUCCGUAGCUGGUCUGAGAGGAUGAUCAGCCACACUGGAACUGAGACACGGUCCAGACUCCUACGGGAGGCAGCAGUGGGGAAUAUUGGACAAUGGGCGCAAGCCUGAUCCAGCCAUACCGCGUGGGUGAAGAAGGCCUUCGGGUUGUAAAGCCCUUUUGUUGGGAAAGAAAAGCAGCAGGUUAAUACCCCGCUGUUCUGACGGUACCCAAAGAAUAAGCACCGGCUAACUUCGUG
This 491-nucleotide ribosomal RNA is filed under the name uncultured bacterium. RNAcentral describes it as "partial 16S ribosomal RNA". It matches the Rfam family "Bacterial small subunit ribosomal RNA", at positions 29 to 507 of the family's 1533-position model. The record is from RNAcentral.